UUUUUUCCUUUUUCACAUGAUCCGAUUCCAGAGUUUCAACUGGCUAGCAGUGCAUAAAAAGUUGUUAUCCCUUAGAUAAGUCCAAAUAUGUUUAAAAAAAUAGGAGACCACACUAUUCUUUCACUCAUCGCACUCAUAUCCAUACAAAAGAAGAAAACAUUGAGGUGAACAAAAAAAAGAUUGCUUUGAUACAUUAUAUCACAUCACUUGUUUAUUUUCCUACCAUCUACUGCUACGACAAAAAACACAAAUGCAUUAUUUCAAAUUUAAUAUCGAUUUGUUUUCUUUUAUUCAUCAUCCGUACUCACUAUCGUCCUUCUUCCCUGCCUCUCCUAUAAACCAUAAC
This 346-nucleotide long non-coding RNA is filed under the name Lathyrus oleraceus (garden pea). RNAcentral describes it as "Pisum sativum (pea) long non-coding RNA (PSAT_LNC006580)". Lineage: Eukaryota; Viridiplantae; Streptophyta; Magnoliopsida; Fabales; Fabaceae. The record is from RNAcentral.